Molecule: ribosomal RNA, 497 nt
Filed under: uncultured bacterium
Lineage: Bacteria
Description: partial 16S ribosomal RNA
Rfam family: Bacterial small subunit ribosomal RNA
Source: RNAcentral
GAUGAACGCUGGCGGCGUGCUUAAUACAUGCAAGUCGAGCGAACGGACGAGGAGCUUGCUUCUCUGAUGUUAGCGGCGGACGGGUGAGUAACACGUGGAUAACCUACUUAUAUGACUGGGAUAACUUCGGGAAACGGGAGCUAAUCCCGGAUGAUAUUUUGAACCGCAGGGUUCAAUAGUAAAAGACGGUCUUGCUGUCUCUUAUAGAUGGAUCCGCGCUGCAUUAGCUAGUUGGUAAGGUAACGGCUUACCAAGGCAACGAUGCAUAGCCGACCUGAGAGGGUGAUCGGCCACACUGGAACUGAGACACGGUCCAGACUCCUACGGGAGGCAGCAGUAGGGAAUCUUCCGCAAUGGGCGAAAGCCUGACGGAGCAACGCCGCGUGAGUGAUGAAGGUCUUCGGAUCGUAAAACUCUGUUAUUAGGGAAGAACAUAUGUGUAAGUAACUGUGCACAUCUUGACGGUACCUAAUCAGAAAGCCACGGCUAACUACGUG